CAGUAGCCACGGUAAUACGUAGGGUGCGAGCGUUAAUCGGAAUUACUGGGCGUAAAGCGUGCGCAGGCGGUUCGUUAAGACAGAUGUGAAAUCCCCGGGCUUAACCUGGGAACUGCAUUUGUGACUGGCGGGCUAGAGUAUGGCAGAGGGGGGUAGAAUUCCACGUGUAGCAGAGAAAUGCGUAGAGAUGUGGAGGAAUACCGAUGGCGAAGGCAGCCCCCUGGGCCAAUACUGACGCUCAUGCACGAAAGCGUGGGGAGCAAACAGGAUUAGAUACCCGCGUAGUCCCUGUCUCUUAUAC
Molecule: ribosomal RNA, 301 nt
Filed under: uncultured bacterium
Lineage: Bacteria
Description: partial 16S ribosomal RNA
Rfam family: Bacterial small subunit ribosomal RNA
Source: RNAcentral